UACGUAGGGUGCGAGCGUUGUCCGGAAUUAUUGGGCGUAAAGGGCUCGUAGGCGGUCUGUCGCGUCGGGAGUGAAAACUCAGGGCUUAACCCUGAGCCUGCUUCCGAUACGGGCAGACUAGAGGUAUGCAGGGGAGAACGGAAUUCCUGGUGUAGCGGUGAAAUGCGCAGAUAUCAGGAGGAACACCGGUGGCGAAGGCGGUUCUCUGGGCAUGACCUGACGCUGAGGAGCGAAAGUGUGGGGAGCGAACAGG
Molecule: ribosomal RNA, 253 nt
Filed under: uncultured bacterium
Lineage: Bacteria
Description: partial 16S ribosomal RNA
Rfam family: Bacterial small subunit ribosomal RNA
Source: RNAcentral